AUUGAACGCUGGCGGCAUGCUUUACACAUGCAAGUCGAACGGUAACAGGUUAAGCUGACGAGUGGCGAACGGGUGAGUAAUGCAUCGGAACGUGCCCGGUCGUGGGGGAUAACGCAGCGAAAGCUGCGCUAAUACCGCAUACGAUCUAAGGAUGAAAGCGGGGGACCGUAAGGACUCGCGCGAUGGGAGCGGCCGAUGUCAGGUUAGGUAGUUGGUGGGGUAAAGGCUCACCAAGCCAACGAUCUGUAGCUGGUCUGAGAGGACGACCAGCCACACUGGGACUGAGACACGGCCCAGACUCCUACGGGAGGCAGCAGUGGGGAAUUUUGGACAAUGGGCGAAAGCCUGAUCCAGCAAUGCCGCGUGCAGGAAGAAGGCCUUCGGGUUGUAAACUGCUUUUGUACGGAGCGAAAAGGUCUCCUCUAAUACAGGGGGCUCAUGACGGUACCGUAAGAAUAAGCACCGGCUAACUACGUGCCAGCCGCCGCGGUAA
RNAcentral lists this ribosomal RNA (493 nucleotides) under uncultured bacterium. RNAcentral's name for it is "partial 16S ribosomal RNA". It matches the Rfam family "Bacterial small subunit ribosomal RNA", at positions 29 to 523 of the family's 1533-position model. The record is from RNAcentral.